Molecule: ribosomal RNA, 871 nt
Filed under: Afrorhytida knysnaensis
Lineage: Eukaryota; Metazoa; Mollusca; Gastropoda; Stylommatophora; Rhytididae
Description: partial 16S ribosomal RNA
Source: RNAcentral
GAAAAUAGAAGAUCUAACUAAAAUAAUUCUUGUAGGGUUUUUCUAUAAUAUAACAAUUAUUAUUAAAUUAAUUUUAGUUAGGGGUGAAAGACCUUCAAUUCUGUUAUAUCUGGAUUUAUAUUAAAUAUAUGUAGUAUAGGAUUAAUUCACAGAUUUAAAAUGUUAAGAUUUUAAAUAAUUAUUAAAGAUUUGCUUAAUACUUAUAGAAUAAGUGUUAAUCCUCUUAUCAAAUUUUACUUUUAUAAUUCUUUUAAGUUUAAUUAAUAAUAAUAAUAUAAUAAUUAAUAUAAUCUCUUAUUAUUUUUAUAAUGUUUAGAUUAGUAAAAAUAGUUUAAUUUAAAGUUAGGAACUCGGCAAAAAUAUUCUUCGUCUGUUUAACAAAAACAUAGCUUAACGUCCAUCAAUUAAUGUUAAGUAAUUUCUGCCCGGUGAUUAAUUUUUAACGGCCGCAGUACCUUGACUGUGCUAAGGUAGCAUAAUAAAUUGGCUUUUAAUUGGAGUCUGGUAUCAACGAAAUGUGGGAGAAUAACUGUCUUGUUUUAAAUGAUUUAAAGUUAUUUUAUAAGGUGAAAAAACCUUAAUUAUUAUAUAUAGACAAGAAGACCCUUAGAAUUUUUAUUAAAUAAGUUUUUUAUAAUUUAAUAAUUUUUGUUGGGGCGACAAGGUAACAUAUAACUUACCUUUUUAUAUAUUACUGGUCAGUUUUUUAAUAGAAAGAUUAAAUUACCUGAGGGAUAACAGCAUAAUAUUAGUUUGAUUGUGACCUCGAUGUUGGAUUAGGAAAAAUAAUAGCUAGUAGUUAUUAUAUUUGGUUCUGUUCGAACUAUGAUACCUACAUGAUCUGAGUUCAGACCGGUGUAAGCCAGGUCAG